UUGGCCCGGCCUGUCUCUCAGUCAGUGGCGGCUGCUGCCUGCUCUGGAGGCAGGCUGGGCGGUGGCGGCCGAGACUGGCGGGGGUGGACGCCCGGGCCGGGCUGCGCCCGCUUCUUGCAGCUGUGAAUUCCUUUGGACAAUUGAUGAUAUUUAUCAUUGUGCCCAGUUUCUACAAAUAAAAGAUGGGUGGAUUAUUUUCUCGAUGGAGGCAAGACUUGCCAUGACACUCCCAUUUUUUGCUUUUCCAUUGAU
This 252-nucleotide small RNA is filed under the name Pan troglodytes (chimpanzee). RNAcentral describes it as "processed transcript". Lineage: Eukaryota; Metazoa; Chordata; Mammalia; Primates; Hominidae. The record is from RNAcentral.